RNAcentral lists this small nuclear RNA (93 nucleotides) under Microtus ochrogaster (prairie vole). Lineage: Eukaryota; Metazoa; Chordata; Mammalia; Rodentia; Cricetidae. The record is from RNAcentral.
UUGCUUCAGUAACACAUAUUAUAAAAUACAGAGAAGAUUAUUAUGGCCCUAUGCAAGAAUGACACUCAGAUUCAUGAAGUGUCCCAUAUUUUA